This 512-nucleotide ribosomal RNA is filed under the name uncultured bacterium. Its description in RNAcentral is "bacterial SSU rRNA". It matches the Rfam family "Bacterial small subunit ribosomal RNA", at positions 15 to 518 of the family's 1533-position model. The record is from RNAcentral.
GAUUCUGGCUCAGGAUGAACGCUAGCUACAGGCUUAACACAUGCAAGGUCGAGGGGCAGCGAGAGGAAGCUUGCUUCCUGUCGGCGACCGGCGCACGGGUGAGUAACGCGUAUCCAACCUUCCGCAUAGUAGGGAAUAGCCCGGCGAAAGUCGGAUUAAUGCCCUAUGUUUUCCGAUGAGGACAUCUGAGCUGGAACAAAGAUUUAUCGCUAUGCGAUGGGGAUGCGUCUGAUUAGCUUGUCGGCGGGGUAACGGCCCACCGAGGCGACGAUCAGUAGGGUUCUGAGAGGAAGGUCCCCCACAUUGGUACUGAGACACGGACCAAACUCCUACGGGAGGCAGCAGUGAGGAAUAUUGGUCAAUGGACGAGAGUCUGAACCAGCCAAGUAGCGUGCCAGGAUGACUGCCCUAUGGGUUGUAAACUGCUUUUAUGCGGGAAUAAAGUGAGGUACGUGUACCUUUUUGUAUGUACCGCAUGAAUAAGGACCGGCUAAUUCCGUGCCAGCAGCCGC